AUGAGACAUACAGGUAUCUGCUUUGCAUGCUCUGGCAAAGCUCUGAUUUGUCACAAACCGUCAGUCUGUGAAGCAGACCCAUGGGGUUACAGUCUUGCAAGCCUUGCAACUCCUGCCUACAAAGUAAAGAGGAAUGCAGUCCGGCUGGUGGCUGCAGCUCCUGUUUGUGUGACGACUGGAGAUAUUGUUCUGACCGCUGCUGUGACAUCUGCUGCCAGAUGUGUGUGGACGUGUGCUCUGGCUUGUGUUCAGGAGACUGCAGCUACACCUUCUGUACUCUCUGUCUCAGCCUGGCACAGAACUGUGUCUCACUUUUUACCACCCAGCCAAGUGAAACAUCAGAGGCACAACAUACUAUAAUGGAUUCAGAACAGCACGCAUACUGAGCAUUUGACUGACAAAAGAUGAAUUGUUUUUAGAACUCACAAAAGUCACUGUGGAGCCAGGCCACGGUCUGCUGUCUGAUGAGGACGGAGAUGAGAAGCACAGAGACUUUGACAGCUGGUGAAAAGAGAGCUGUCUGCAGACCAGAGUGGCCAUGUAACAAUGGGCUUUACAAUCAGCUCAAUCUUAUCACUGCCAUCAAAGCUGAACAAAAGCUCUCUGAACAAAACAGACUUUCCUUCUCCUGGGUCACCCCCAUGCGAUGGCAGAGAUCAACCCCACUUAACACUUGUGUCACCGCCUUACCAGCCUCAUUUCAUGUGGAUGGAUUUAUUUCUAUGCAUCUGGAUAUUUGGAUUACAAAAAAAGACAUCUAUUCUUCAUCAUUCUUUUUCAAUACAAUAUUUUUAAAGAGACAAAUAGGAUUCCCUAACAUCAACCCAGCCAAAGUGCUGCAUUUCUCACAUCUGGAAGAUUAAAUUGAUGUGUAGAAAUGGCCUCAUCCUUGUAUACAAGCAGUUCUUCAGAACACUUGUUAAAUGUCUGAAAGAUUGUUUUGCACUUUGAGGCAAACAAAAAUAUAAUUUGACUGCACAGUGUACAAUCUAAUAUUUCUUUGCCAGAUAAGGGCGCCUGAGGACACAAGGUGCUAUUUGCUUCCACUGAAUUAGACCUUUUAUUAUCUUCCACGAAAUUGCAACUUUAUGGAAAUUUUAAUGAUUGAGAGAGCCAUGUCCCAGCAUCAAAAGAAGCCUAGAACAAGGUCUUACAAGGGAAAUCUAACACAGAGAGUACGCCCAGCUGUAUUGUGUCCCCGACUGUACCCAUCACGCUCCUGUUUUCUCCUCCUUCCAGUCCCUCUGGACUCUGUGCAUUCAGUCCAACUCAAAUUUGUAUCCUUCUCAAACUUAGCAGAGCUCAGUAGAGACUAUAUGGCCUACUUUACUCAUCAAGCUGACCUUAUCUUUCUUGCAGUUUGUGUCUGUAUUUAUCAUAGUUAUAUCUGCAGUAAAUCAUGUGAAUCCAAAAAAAAUUGUUCAUACUUCACUCACCUUAACUGAGAUUUUCUCUUGUGUGUUGUUUCAUCGUAUAUAUUUUUUUUCUGUGUAUUUGCUUGAAAUAUCUAGGGAGUAGAGGAAUGGAGUUGUGAAGUCUUAAUCUGAUAUCAAAGGUCCAAUAGGAGCUCUGGUGUAAAUUGAAAUAUUGUUAAAAAUGAUGCACCGAGAUCAAUAAAGAUUGGGUAAAAGCAGUAAAGCAGUA
Molecule: long non-coding RNA, 1644 nt
Organism: Thunnus maccoyii (southern bluefin tuna)
Lineage: Eukaryota; Metazoa; Chordata; Actinopteri; Scombriformes; Scombridae
Exons: 5
Source: RefSeq, a predicted model, not a curated record